This is a non-coding RNA of Vicugna pacos (alpaca), 2585 nucleotides long. Lineage: Eukaryota; Metazoa; Chordata; Mammalia; Artiodactyla; Camelidae. The record is from RefSeq and is a predicted model, not a curated record.
GCGCCGCUCCCUCUUGGCCGGCCGAGCGGUUCCAAAGCCCGGAGUGGCCCUUUAAAAGGCAGUGUCUUGUCCGGAGGGGCGGGCGGGGGGCGCUGACCGCUGCUUGCUCGAGGCCCGGCCCCUCCUCCCUCUCCCCGCGUCCGUCCGUCCCUCCCUCGGUCCCCGCGUAGCUCGCUCGCUCGCUCGCCGGGCGCACGCUCCGCCUCCGUCAGUCGGCGCGGCUGUCUAGUGCGCGGCGUGGAGCCGGAGCCGGGGCCGGACGCGCGGCCGGGGCCGGGGCCGGGGGCUGGGAGAUCGGCGCCCGCCACCGGGCGAGCCUGAGCCGCGAUGGCCGAGAUGGGCAGCAAGGGGGUGACGGCUGGGAAGAUCGCCAGCAACGUGCAGAAGAAGCUCACUCGCGCGCAGGAAAAGGUCCUCCAGAAACUGGGGAAGGCGGAUGAGACAAAGGAUGAGCAGUUUGAACAGUGUGUCCAGAAUUUCAACAAGCAGCUGACUGAGGGCACCCGGCUGCAGAAGGAUCUCCGGACUUACCUGACUUCAGUCAAAGCCAUGCACGAGGCCUCCAAGAAACUGAACGAGUGUCUGCAGGAGGUGUACGAGCCUGAUUGGCCUGGCAGGGACGAGGCGAACAAGAUCGCGGAGAACAACGACCUGCUCUGGAUGGAUUACCACCAGAAGUUGGUGGACCAGGCACUGCUGACCAUGGACACAUACCUGGGUCAGUUUCCUGACAUCAAGUCACGCAUUGCCAAGCGCGGGCGGAAGCUAGUGGACUACGACAGUGCCCGGCACCAUUAUGAGUCCCUACAGACCGCCAAAAAGAAGGAUGAGGCCAAGAUUGCCAAGCCUGUCUCGCUGCUUGAGAAAGCCGCCCCCCAGUGGUGUCAAGGCAAACUGCAGGCUCACCUCGUAGCUCAAACUAACCUGCUCCGAAAUCAGGCCGAGGAGGAGCUCAUCAAAGCCCAGAAGGUGUUUGAGGAGAUGAACGUGGAUCUGCAGGAGGAGCUGCCGUCCCUGUGGAACAGCCGUGUAGGUUUUUACGUCAACACGUUUCAGAGCAUCGCGGGCCUGGAGGAGAACUUCCACAAGGAGAUGAGUAAGCUCAACCAGAGCCUCAGCGACGUGCUGCUCAGCCUGGAGAAACAGCACGGGAGCAACACCUUCACGAUCAAGGCCCAGCCCAGAAAGAAAACAAAACUGUUCUCCCGGCUGCGCAGAAAGAAGAACAGUGACAACGCCCCUGUGAAAGGGAACAAGAGCCCCUCACCGCCACCCGACGGCUCCCCUGCCGCCACCCCGGAGAUCAGAGUCAACCAUGAGCCCGAGCCAGCCGGCGUGGCCACGCCCGGGGCUGCCCUCCCCAAGUCCCCGUCUCAGCUCCGGAAAGGCCCACCAGUCCCUCCGCCUCCCAAACACACCCCGUCCAAGGAGGUCAAGCAGGAGCAGAUCCUCAGCCUGUUUGACGACACGUUUGUCCCUGAGAUCAGCGUGACCACCCCCUCCCAGUUUGAGGCCCCGGGGCCUUUCUCGGAGCAGGCCAGUCUGCUGGACCUGGACUUUGACCCCCUCCCGCCUGUGGCGAGCCCUGUGAAGGCGCCCACGCCCUCUGGUCAGGUUGGUCUGAGCCCACCACUGCCCACGGGCCCGCCUGCCUCUGGGCACCGGGGCCAGGGUUCAUGUCCGCCCACCGGCCGUGUGGGCCUAAAGGGGGUCUGGUGUCUUUGGAGGUCCUGGUGUCACCAGGUUCUCUUCUCACUCUCUGUCCUCUCCCGGAGCCCGGGCCCACAGCUCUUGUCACCUCCUCUGGUCCUGCCCACGGGGAAGGGGAGAGGGCAGACACAGGUCAGCCAGAGGACCCUCAGGAGGAGGUCAGCCGAACACUCACCUGGCAGCUUUCAGUCUGUCUCAGGAUUCUGUCCCGUCCUGGUGGCAGCCCCGGGUGUGUGCACUGCCUGCCAUGGGGUCUCAGCCCCCUGGAAGGUGUCCGGGACUUGGCCCUCUGGAGACCACAGAGCCCAGCUCUGCUCUGCCCUGUCCCUGCUGGGCUCUAGGACCUGGGGCAGUGUGGGAUGGGGCCCCUGGGGCUGCUUGCCUGUCCCCGUCUCUAACCUCUGUGCUAACUCUGCCCUUCUCCCUUCUGCUGCGCUCAGUCAAUUCCGUGGGACCUCUGGGAGCCCACAGAGAGUCCAGCUGGCAGCCUGCCUUCCAGGGAGCCCAGCGCUGCCGAGGGCACCUUUGCUGUGGCCUGGCCCAGCCAGACGGCCGAGCCGGGGCCUGCCCAACCAGCAGAGGCCUCGGAGGUGGCGGGGGGGACCCGCCCUGCGGCUGGAGCCCAGGAGCCCGGGGAGACGGCAGCCAGUGAAGCAGCCUCCAGCUCGCUCCCGGCAGUGGUGGUGGAGACCUUCUCAGGCACUGUGAACGGCGCCGUGGAGGGCGGCAGUGGGGCCGGGCGCUUGGACCUGCCCCCAGGGUUCAUGUUCAAGGUGCAGGCCCAGCAUGACUACACAGCCACCGACACGGACGAGCUGCAGCUCAAGGCUGGGGACGUGGUGCUGGUGAUCCCCUUUCAGAACCCAGAGGAGCAG